AGCGAACGCUGGCGGCAGGCUUAACACAUGCAAGUCGAGCGGGCCCUUCGGGGUCAGCGGCGGACGGGUGAGUAACGCGUGGGAACGUGCCUUCUGGUUCGGAAUAACCCUGGGAAACUAGGGCUAAUACCGGAUACGCCCUUAUGGGGAAAGGUUUACUGCCGGAAGAUCGGCCCGCGUCUGAUUAGCUAGUUGGUGGGGUAACGGCCUACCAAGGCGACGAUCAGUAGCUGGUCUGAGAGGAUGAUCAGCCACACUGGGACUGAGACACGGCCCAGACUCCUACGGGAGGCAGCAGUGGGGAAUAUUGGACAAUGGGCGCAAGCCUGAUCCAGCCAUGCCGCGUGAGUGAUGAAGGCCUUAGGGUUGUAAAGCUCUUUUAUCCGGGACGAUAAUGACGGUACCGGAGGAAUAAGCCCCGGCUAACUUCGUGC
This 434-nucleotide ribosomal RNA is filed under the name Methylobacterium sp. B13. Its description in RNAcentral is "bacterial SSU rRNA". It matches the Rfam family "Bacterial small subunit ribosomal RNA", at positions 29 to 508 of the family's 1533-position model. Lineage: Bacteria; Pseudomonadati; Pseudomonadota; Alphaproteobacteria; Hyphomicrobiales; Methylobacteriaceae. The record is from RNAcentral.